Rattus norvegicus (Norway rat) is the source of this 555-nucleotide non-coding RNA. NCBI's taxonomy places the organism in Eukaryota, Metazoa, Chordata, Mammalia, Rodentia, Muridae. The record is from RefSeq and is a predicted model, not a curated record.
CAACUGUUCGGCACCUGGGAAUAAGAUGUAUAUGCAUGAUAUAACACAAAGGAAAGAACAAACGAAACUCAAGACGGAUGAUCAAAAUGUGAAUGCUUCACUCCUUCUUUAAAUGAGGAAAAAGAAUACCCUUGGCAGGGAAGGGAGAGGCAAAGAUUAAAACAGAGACUGAAGGAACACCCAUUCAGAGCCUGCCCCACAUGUGGCCCAUACAUAUACAGCCACCCAAUUAGACAAGAUGGAUGAAGCAAAGAAGUGCAGAUCGACAGGAGCCGGAUGUAGAUCGCUCCUGAGAGACACAGCCAGAAUACAGCAAAUACAGAGGCGAAUGCCAGCAGCAAACCACUGAACUGAGAAUAGGUCCCCUAUUGAAGGAAUCAGAGAAAGAACUGGAAGAGCUUGAAGGGGCUCGAGACUCCAUAUGUACAACAAUACCAAGCAACCAGAGCUUCCAGGGACUAAGCCACUACCUAAAGUCUAUACAUGGACUGACCCUUAAUGGCUGAGCCAUCUCCAUUUUCUUCUUUUUUAAAAUUAAACCUAAAAAAACCUGGA